UUAUUUGUAUGUCAUAAAAAACGAUUUAAAAGAAGUCUCAUUUAAAUCUAUGUGGAGAUUGCACAUCGACAGGUUGACUUUUUCCUUUUAAAGAGUAGCAUGGAAAGCAGCGUAGUUUAUCGAUGCUUAAACUUAAUGCGUGGAAUUUAAUGAGGUGUAGAGAUGUGGUUCUCAUUGUCUUUUUUUUUUUUUUCCAUUAAUGAUGACUCGGAUAAUUGAAGUAGUUGCUCGGUUUCGCGGACACCAAGAAGAGACACUGAAUGCAAGUCACGUGGUAAACACGUUUAUACAAGACGGUUGGAUACCGUGAAUGAAUUUGCGGAUGCUACCAGAAUGUCUGCACCUUCGAACAUGUUGUGCAACUUAACAGGUUGACUCCAUUCAUUUGAUUGAUCUUUUUCUUUGAAAUAUAUGGAAAAAAAAUAUUGUAAUCGUGCAUAGUCAUUGACAAGCAGUUAAAUGUCGUGAAAAGUGACGGACAUCGUGCACGAGCCGUGCAAUUAUGGAAGCUGUGUAUGGCAGACGAAAGUCUCGACCGCCCAAGCGGGCGUUCCGAUUUAUAUCUCGUGUUUUUGGUCAUUUUUUUUUAGACGAAAUAUGAAAAUACAAAAUUUUCUAAAUUAAAAAAAAAAAAAAUGCAAUCGGAAGAUUUCUGGUUACAAAAAAAUUUUCAGAUAUUUUUCGAGAAAUUAUUAUUCGUCCAAUUCGAGAACGAUAUAUUUUAAUAUAAUAGAAAUGAACAUAUGUCUAUUAUUUACGAUUAAACACCGACGAUUUUCGCUAUCCGUUCGAAUUCAAAGAUCGAUAUCUCGCGUGAAAUCUCGCGGAUCGUUGUUCCUCGUUAUUCUAACUUACUCCGUGACGUGGUAUGCAACGGUCAUGAUAUUAAUCCAAUGGAUAACCGACAGGAUGUGGAUUUAUCGCGCUCGAAAAACCGGCAGCCGAAGGAAACUUGUAGUUCGUUUUCGUGCAUGAAAAUCAUAGAAAGAAGAGAGAGAGAAAGAAAGAGAGAAAGAGCAGUGCAGUAGCGUGAUACAGUGCAACACAGCAGACCGAUAGAACUAGUAUUUUUUAUACUCACAAGGACCAUUGUUACUGUCGGGGGCUGCGAAACAGGGAGAUACAACAACACUUUAAUUUCUAGUUUAAUCAGAUAAGCAUUCGUAGAGAAAUAAAUUAUAAGGGAGAGAUUGGUAAAAAAGAGAGGAGAAUUAAUUGAUUAAAAUAAAUAAAUAAACUACUAUAUAAAUAAAUAAAUAAAUAAAUAAAUAAAUAGUAAAUAGCGGAACGUACGUAAAUUUGAAUUAUCGUCGGGAAUGGUAUUAAAUUGAGAUAUAUAAAUAUAAUUGUUUAUGAUUAAUUCACGUACGAACAAAUUAACCGUAUAAUUGUAACUGCAGCUUGUGUUACGUGCGAUACAUUCCAACAUCCCCCAAUUUGCUACUGUUGUCUCACCACUACACCGUGACUUGAUUAGAAUUUAGUCACCGAAAUACCAUGUAUACAGCGGAGCCAACACGUCAUUCGUUAAAGUAGAAAGCGCGGUUGUUUGUUGCGUACGAGGUUAUCGAGAUAAAUCAUUUAUAUUUAACCCUUUCAUUGCUGUUGCCCGUUUUCACAAAUGGAAAGGAUUUGCUCGAUCAUUAUAUGCGCGUAUAUAAAAUUGAUAAAUCGACAUUGAUAAAACAGAAACGAAAACAAAUUGCCUUACAGCCAUAAACGAUUCAAACGUUAUCAAAAGAUACGUAUCGGGCAAAUUAUUUCCCGCGUGUUGGGUCGAUUAUCGCUGUAAACGUAGAGAGAAACUCAUCAGGUCUCUCAUCGAGUGAAAUUCAUUUUCAGUAAUGAAAAGGUCGAAAGUUAUUAUUAUAUGUGUCCCACAGCCGAGUUGGAAUUGAGAAUCCUCAGGAGACGUUUCAUUCGGGACUGGAUUUAGAGGAUGCAACGUACUCUGAUCGCGCGUUUCGAAUGUAACACACGUUUUUCGCCGCUGUCGUGACGCAAUU
Molecule: long non-coding RNA, 2006 nt
Organism: Apis florea (little honeybee)
Lineage: Eukaryota; Metazoa; Arthropoda; Insecta; Hymenoptera; Apidae
Source: RefSeq, a predicted model, not a curated record